CACGUAAUUAGCCGGGGCUUCUUACUCAGGUACCGUCAUUUUCUUCCCUGCUGAUAGAGCUUUACAUCACGAAUGACUUCUUCACUCACGCGGCGUUGCUGCAUCAGGGUUUCCCCCAUUGUGCAAUAUUCCCCACUGCUGCCUCCCGUAGGAGUUUGGGCCGUGUCUCAGUCCCAAUGUGGCCGUUCACCCUCUCAGGCCGGCUACUGAUCGUCGCCUUGGUGGGCUUCUACCCCGCCAACCAGCUAAUCAGACGCGGAUCCAUCUUACACCACCGGAGUUUUUCACACUAAGCCAUGCGGCUCCGUGCGCUUAUGCGGUAUUAGCACCUAUUUCUAAGUGUUAUCCCCCAGUGUAAGGCAGGUUAUCCACGCGUUACUCACCCGUCCGCCACUAAGUUACGAAUCACUAGGUUUCAUCGUAACUCCGUUCGACUUGCAUGUGUUAGGCACGCCGCCAGCGUUCAUCCUGAGCCAGGAUCAAACUCU
This 488-nucleotide ribosomal RNA is filed under the name uncultured Eubacteriales bacterium. RNAcentral's name for it is "uncultured Clostridiales bacterium partial 16S ribosomal RNA". Lineage: Bacteria; Bacillati; Bacillota; Clostridia; Eubacteriales. The record is from RNAcentral.